UACGUAGGGGGCUAGCGUUGUCCGGAAUCAUUGGGCGUAAAGCGCACGUAGGCGGACUCUUAAGUCGGUGGUGAAAUCCUGGAGCUCAACUCCAGAACUGCCUUCGAUACUGAGAGUCUCGAGUCCGGGAGAGGUGAGUGGAACUGCGAGUGUAGAGGUGAAAUUCGUAGAUAUUCGCAAGAACACCAGUGGCGAAGGCGGCUCACUGGCCCGGUACUGACGCUGAGGUGCGAAAGCGUGGGGAGCAAACAGG
Molecule: ribosomal RNA, 253 nt
Filed under: uncultured bacterium
Lineage: Bacteria
Description: partial 16S ribosomal RNA
Rfam family: Bacterial small subunit ribosomal RNA
Source: RNAcentral